GCAACUCGAAAUCGUUAUCGUACGUCCCCAUGUCUUUUCUCCGGCCACCGAAACGACGCCAUCUGUUUUGUGCGUCUUCUUCUUUAUAAACCAUACGUCUUCGUUCUUCUUCCUUUCACCUCUUCUUCGACUCUAUUAAAAACUCCGAGCUCUCCCCUUAUUCAUCACUAGCUCUUCUUAAAAACAAACAAAAAAAAUUCGAUCUUUAGGGUUUUGCUUCGAUCCCGCUUAGUCAGCUUCGGCGUUUCGAAUUCUCGAGUAAAGAGGUACGGGUUUUGUCCUCAAUUUAGAAGAUCGGGUAUUUGAAUUAAGCAGAACCUGAGUAUCAUCUGUUGCUGAAUUGCUCGAAUUGCUGUGAAAUUAGGGAUUUUUAUUGAUUCCGGAGCUCGAGAUUUGACUUGUUUCAGUUGAUUUUGGGAAAGUAUCGAUCUUUUUUGUGUGUUGGUGAGGUCAAUUGAAGAGAAAAGGUUGAUUUUGUUUUGUGGUAAUGGAGGACGGCGAGCUUGAAUUCUCGAAUCAGGAAGUGUUUUCGAGUUCGGAUAUGGGUGAGUUACCACCUAGCAACUGUUCGAUGGAUAGUUUCUUUGAUGGGCUUUUGAUGGAUACUACUAAUGCCAAUGCUGCUUGUACCCACACUCACACCUGUAACCCCACGGGACCUGAGAAUACUCAUACCCACACGUGUUUCCAUGUCCACACCAAGAUUCUUCCUGACGAGAGCGAUGAAAAAGUUUCCACUGAUGAUACAGCUGAGUCUUGUGGGAAGAAGGGUGAGAAGAGACCUUUGGGAAACCGAGAAGCGGUUAGGAAGUAUAGAGAGAAGAAGAAGGCUAAAGCUGCUUCCUUGGAGGACGAGGUCGCAAGGCUUAGGGCGGUGAAUCAGCAGCUUGUGAAGAGGUUGCAAAAUCAGGCUACCUUGGAAGCUGAGGUCUCCAGACUCAAGUGUUUGCUUGUUGAUUUAAGAGGAAGGAUUGAUGGGGAGAUUGGAUCUUUUCCUUAUCAGAAGCCUAUGUCUGCAAAUAUUCCUUCUUUCUCCCACAUGAUGAAUCCGUGUAAUGUACAAUGCGAUGACGAAGUUUACUGCCCUCAGAAUGGGUUUGGAGGGAACACCCAAGAAGGUGCAUCUAUCAAUGACCAAGGGCUGGGUGGUUGUGAUUUUGAUCAGCUACAAUGCUUGGCUAAUCAGAACUUAGGUGGAAAUGUAAACGGAUCAUUCAACAAUGCCAAUGCAUCUGUCUCGAAUAAGAGAAAAGGUGGGCAUCGCGCAUCAAGAGCUGUUUGAAGUACCAUCAAGCUUGUACCAUCUAUUUCCACCAGCAUAGAUAUUGUAUUCCAAAUAAGUUAUAGAGUUUAGCUGCAGCAUCAGCUCCGCUCAGCUUUAAGGAGUUGGUGAGGAGUGUCUUUGUGGCCCGAGUGAGAUCUCUGGACAGGUGAGUUAUAAAAGAUUCACUUCCUGAGAUCUCUCCUACCUUAUAUGCUUUUAAAAGAACAACUAUACUUGAGGAUUCUUGAAUCUUGUUGAAUACUAGUACCCAGGUUUGGUAGUAAAGGCAGAAUUUCGAUUACCUAUUAAGCAUCAUGUUGUUUGGUGAAGAACAAGGUAUGCCUAUGAAGCAGACUGUUUUGUACUUCGAGCUUGAGGGGCUUUCUCAGUGUCUCUGUUCUAGCCUAAUUGUACCACUGUCCAUUGCAAUGUUCUUACAGUUGUGAUCCCAAGCUGCUUAGCAAACCCUUUUGUUGACUUCAAUGGGAUAUGUAGUUUUAACUUUUACUUGAACUAAUCUCAGGAUCAGGCUUUGCAAUAGGGUUUAUUGUAAAACUAAAGAAUCAUAGCAGAUGUACUGGAAAAACGAUUAUUUCGUACUUAGGGUAGUGCAUACACCAAACUUGUUUA
Non-coding RNA from Camelina sativa (false flax), 1894 nucleotides. The record is from RefSeq and is a predicted model, not a curated record. Lineage: Eukaryota; Viridiplantae; Streptophyta; Magnoliopsida; Brassicales; Brassicaceae.